UGGGGAAUAUUGCACAAUGGGCGCAAGCCUGAUGCAGCCAUGCCGCGUGUAUGAAGAAGGCCUUCGGGUUGUAAAGUACUUUCAGCGGGGAGGAAGGUGUUGUGGUUAAUAACCACAGCAAUUGACGUUACCCGCAGAAGAAGCACCGGCUAACUCCGUGCCAGCAGCCGCGGUAAUACGGAGGGUGCAAGCGUUAAUCGGAAUUACUGGGCGUAAAGCGCACGCAGGCGGUCUGUCAAGUCGGAUGUGAAAUCCCCGGGCUCAACCUGGGAACUGCAUCCGAAACUGGCAGGCUUGAGUCGUGUAGAGGGGGGUAGAAUUCCAGGUGUAGCGGUGAAAUGCGUAGAGAUCUGGAGGAAUACCGGUGGCGAAGGCGGCCCCCUGGACAAAGACUGACGCUCAGGUGCGAAAGCGUGGGGAGCAAACA
Molecule: ribosomal RNA, 427 nt
Filed under: uncultured bacterium
Lineage: Bacteria
Description: partial 16S ribosomal RNA
Rfam family: Bacterial small subunit ribosomal RNA
Source: RNAcentral